AGGAGGAACAAUCACAGUGGCUGCGCAGCUCUGGAAACCUGGAUUCAGCUCCUGCAGGAACUACUCCGUCUGCAGGGCCUGGAGGCUCCGGGGCGGG
Molecule: microRNA precursor, 97 nt
Filed under: Canis lupus familiaris (dog)
Lineage: Eukaryota; Metazoa; Chordata; Mammalia; Carnivora; Canidae
Also listed under: 1 other name
Description: mir-8834 microRNA precursor family
Rfam family: mir-8834 microRNA precursor family
Source: Rfam by way of RNAcentral